GGGUCAGUAGGUUGGUCGUGCCACCGGUACGUACUGGUCUCACUGAUUCCUCCUUCCUGAAGAACCGUAAUGCCAUUAAUUUGGUGUUACGGGGAAACAGGACUGUUACUUUGAAAAAAUUAGAGUGUUUAAAGCAAGCUAACGCUUGAAUACAUUAGCAUGGAGUAAUGAAAUAGGACGAUCGAUCCUAUUUUGUUGGUUUCUAGGAUUGACGUA
RNAcentral lists this ribosomal RNA (216 nucleotides) under Glomeromycotina sp. RNAcentral's name for it is "partial small subunit ribosomal RNA". The stretch from base 40 to 216 matches the Rfam family "Eukaryotic small subunit ribosomal RNA", at positions 686 to 864 of the family's 1831-position model. Lineage: Eukaryota; Fungi; Glomeromycota. The record is from RNAcentral.